Molecule: long non-coding RNA, 1357 nt
Filed under: Parus major (Great Tit)
Lineage: Eukaryota; Metazoa; Chordata; Aves; Passeriformes; Paridae
Description: lncRNA (ENSPMJG00000016501.1)
Source: RNAcentral
CUUAGGGUGAUUAAAUUGCUGUAAUUAAAUGUAUCCCCAGCCUCCCAAGCAUUGUUUCUGUGCUGCUAAGGCUGCUAGAUAAGGCUGGGGUUGAGCUGUGACACCUGGGCUAUAUAUAGAAGGUAACAGCUUGCUGCUCUUGGGAACAUUUGGGUUCUUGCACUCUGGUUUGUGACUUCCAUGAAAGAAUUGGAGGAAGAGGAUAAUAACAGCUCCAAAGGGCACUGCUGCUUUGAGACUGCUUAACACUGCCUUUUUAAAAAUAGUUUUAUCCACAGCAAAACACGAUUUUUCUUUCUUUGGAUGAGAUGCAAGGGCUCCUUGUCAGAGAGAAUUUGAGAAAGAACAAAGAUGAAUCGCUCUUAAGGCUUGAGGAUGUUUGGACAUUUAGGAACGGUUUAAUUGAAUGGAAGUGAGAAGUUGUUAAAAUACAGGCAGAAAAGACUGACACGGGGUUAAAUCUGUGUGCAUCUAUAAUCCGUGACCAUAACAAACGAAAAAGCUGUCAAAACAGGGAAGGUUGGAAUUGCCCUGUGUCUAGACAAAAAAAAAAUAAAAACCAAAUUUGAGCAAGACAGAGAAAAGUGAUGUUUAGAGCUUUUUGGCAAAAGAAGCUACAGCUGCAGAACUCAAUCCCAUGAAGGGCUGUGUUCGUCUGGGCUAAGCUGCACUGUCAGAUCAAUACAGAUCUGAGCUCUGUAGCAUGAGUCAAAUCAAAAUUGUCUGUCCAGGCACUUGAGACUUUGGGUUCUUUGAAAACCAAACCCCAGAUAAUAAAUUGGGCUGCUUGAAUCUCUUUGCAGCAUUAUUCAGAAAAAUGUCUAAAAUAUCAUUGUCCAAAGAGUUCCUUAAUAUCAAAUGUUCUCUGAAAACAAAACCAGUAAGUAAAAAACAUGUAUAAAAUGCUACUCUUUUGUUCCAGGGGAAGGCCAGGGGAAGUGGAGCCCUUCCUCUUUGGAAGGUGUGUGUUUGAUUUGGUGCUGCUCAGAUGCCAUGGUGACAGGCACUGCAGAAAACAAACCCCAAGCACCAGAUAAUCUGGACCUACUAUCUAGGUCUUGGCACUUAAGGCUCUACUUUACUGGCUUAAAAGACUUCUUGAAGCCAUGAGUUCCUCAGCUGCUGAGCUGUAGAAUGUGUCAUGCAAUAUAGGCAGUGUAACUAAUCACCCUCAGUCAUCAUCUUGUUUAACUGAAUUAGCUUAAGGCCUCAUGCUCUGAGGUGUAUUUUCAUGUUUGAGUGUUUUCUGAACCAGUUUGGAUUUUUUUUAACCUCCUUAAAAUGCAGUGCAAUGAAUUUCACUUGCUGAAAAUGUAUAUAUAAUAAAUGUAUAUAAUGAAAUGCUAAUAUUGUGUAG